Molecule: transfer RNA, 76 nt
Filed under: Klebsiella pneumoniae
Lineage: Bacteria; Pseudomonadati; Pseudomonadota; Gammaproteobacteria; Enterobacterales; Enterobacteriaceae
Description: tRNA-Trp
Rfam family: tRNA
About the family: Transfer RNA (tRNA) molecules are approximately 80 nucleotides in length.
Source: RNAcentral
AGGGGCGUAGUUCAAUUUGUAGAGCACCGGUCUCCAAAACCGGGUGUUGGGAGUUCGAGUCUCUCCGCCCCUGCCA